UACGUAGGGUGCAAGCGUUAAUCGGAAUUACUGGGCGUAAAGCGUGCGCAGGCGGUUUGGUAAGACAGAUGUGAAAUCCCCGGGCUUAACCUGGGAAUUGCAUUUGUGACUGCCCGGCUAGAGUGUGUCAGAGGGGGGUAGAAUUCCACGUGUAGCAGUGAAAUGCGUAGAUAUGUGGAGGAAUACCGAUGGCGAAGGCAGCCCCCCUGGGAUAACACUGACGCUCAUGCACGAAAGCGUGGGGAGCAAACAGG
Molecule: ribosomal RNA, 254 nt
Filed under: uncultured bacterium
Lineage: Bacteria
Description: partial 16S ribosomal RNA
Rfam family: Bacterial small subunit ribosomal RNA
Source: RNAcentral